UUCGCCCUUAGAGUUUGAUCCUGGCUCAGGACGAACGCUGGCGGCGUGCCUAAUACAUGCAAGUCGAGCGGACAGAAGGGAGCUUGCUCCCGGAUGUUAGCGGCGGACGGGUGAGUAACACGUGGGUAACCUGCCUGUAAGACUGGGAUAACUCCGGGAAACCGGAGCUAAUACCGGAUAGUUCCUUGAACCGCAUGGUUCAAGGAUGAAAGACGGUUUCGGCUGUCACUUACAGAUGGACCCGCGGCGCAUUAGCUAGUUGGUGAGGUAACGGCUCACCAAGGCGACGAUGCGUAGCCGACCUGAGAGGGUGAUCGGCCACACUGGGACUGAGACACGGCCCAGACUCCUACGGGAGGCAGCAGUAGGGAAUCUUCCGCAAUGGACGAAAGUCUGACGGAGCAACGCCGCGUGAGUGAUGAAGGUUUUCGGAUCGUAAAGCUCUGUUGUUAGGGAAGAACAAGUGCAAGAGUAACUACUUGCACCUUGACGGUACCUAACCAGAAAGCCACGGCUAACUACGUGCCAGCAGCCGCGGUAAUACGUAGGUGGCAAGCGUUGUCCGGAAUUAUUGGGCGUAAAGGGCUCGCAGGCGG
RNAcentral lists this ribosomal RNA (596 nucleotides) under uncultured Bacillus sp. Its description in RNAcentral is "bacterial SSU rRNA". It matches the Rfam family "Bacterial small subunit ribosomal RNA", at positions 1 to 578 of the family's 1533-position model. Lineage: Bacteria; Bacillati; Bacillota; Bacilli; Caryophanales; Bacillaceae. The record is from RNAcentral.